RNAcentral lists this ribosomal RNA (497 nucleotides) under uncultured bacterium. RNAcentral describes it as "partial 16S ribosomal RNA". It matches the Rfam family "Bacterial small subunit ribosomal RNA", at positions 28 to 507 of the family's 1533-position model. The record is from RNAcentral.
GAUGAACGCUGGCGGCGUGCCUAAUACAUGCAAGUCGAGCGAACAGAUGAGAAGCUUGCUCCUCUGACGUUAGCGGCGGACGGGUGAGUAACACGUGGAUAACCUACCUAUAAGACUGGGAUAACUUCGGGAAACCGGAGCUAAUACCGGAUAAUAUAUUGAACCGCAUGGUUCAAUAGUGAAAGACGGUUUUGCUGUCACUUAUAGAUGGAUCCGCGCUGCAUUAGCUAGUUGGUAAGGUAACGGCUUACCAAGGCAACGAUGCAUAGCCGACCUGAGAGGGUGAUCGGCCACACUGGAACUGAGACACGGUCCAGACUCCUACGGGAGGCAGCAGUAGGGAAUCUUCCGCAAUGGGCGAAAGCCUGACGGAGCAACGCCGCGUGAGUGAUGAAGGUCUUCGGAUCGUAAAACUCUGUUAUUAGGGAAGAACAAAUGUGUAAGUAACUAUGCACGUCUUGACGGUACCUAAUCAGAAAGCCACGGCUAACUACGUG